RNAcentral lists this transfer RNA (89 nucleotides) under Alphaproteobacteria bacterium MarineAlpha9_Bin2. RNAcentral's name for it is "tRNA-Ser". It matches the Rfam family "tRNA". From Rfam's summary of the family: Transfer RNA (tRNA) molecules are approximately 80 nucleotides in length. Lineage: Bacteria; Pseudomonadati; Pseudomonadota; Alphaproteobacteria. The record is from RNAcentral.
GGUGAGGUGGCUGAGUGGUCUAAAGCACUGGUCUUGAAAACCAGCGUACGUUAUGCGUACCGUGGGUUCGAAUCCCACCCUCACCGCCA